This 478-nucleotide ribosomal RNA is filed under the name uncultured Methylomirabilota bacterium. RNAcentral describes it as "bacterial SSU rRNA". It matches the Rfam family "Bacterial small subunit ribosomal RNA", at positions 364 to 832 of the family's 1533-position model. Lineage: Bacteria; Methylomirabilota (SeqCode). The record is from RNAcentral.
UUUCGCAAUGCCCGAAAGGGUGACGAAGCGACGCCGCGUGGGUGAGGAAGGCCUUCGGGUUGUAAAGCCCUGUCAGGAGUUAUGAAAUGUAAGUGUGCUAAUAUCGCAUUUACUUGACGAAGGCUCCAAAGGAAGUCACGGCUAACUCUGUGCCAGCAGCCGCGGUAAUACAGAGGUGGCAAGCGUUGUUCGGAAUUAUUGGGCGUAAAGAGCACGUAGGUGGGUUUGUAAGUCAGAUGUGAAAGCCUCCUGUUCAACGGGAGAAUUGCAUCUGAAACUACUGAUCUUGAGUAUAGGAGGGGAGAAUGGAACUUCUGGUGGAGCGGUGAAAUGCGUAGAUAUCAGAAGGAACGCCGGCGGCGAAAGCGAUUCUCUGGCCUAUUACUGACACUCAGUGUGCGAAAGCUAGGGGAGCAAACGGGAUUAGAUACCCCGGUAGUCCUAGCCGUAAACGAUGGGCACUAAGUAGAGGGGUUUU